CGAGCGAACAGACGAGGAGCUUGCUCCUCUGACGUUAGCGGCGGACGGGUGAGUAACACGUGGAUAACCUACCUAUAAGACUGGGAUAACUUCGGGAAACCGGAGCUAAUACCGGGUAAUAUAUUGAACCGCAUGGUUCAAUAGUGAAAGACGGUUUUGCUGUCACUUAUAGAUGGAUCCGCGCCGCAUUAGCUAGUUGGUAAGGUAACGGCUUACCAAGGCGACGAUGCGUAGCCGACCUGAGAGGGUGAUCGGCCACACUGGAACUGAGACACGGUCCAGACUCCUACGGGAGGCAGCAGUAGGGAAUCUUCCGCAAUGGGCGAAAGCCUGACGGAGCAACGCCGCGUGAGUGAUGAAGGUCUUCGGAUCGUAAAACUCUGUUAUUAGGGAAGAACAAAUGUGUAAGUAACUAUGCACGUCUUGACGGUACCUAAUCAGAAAGCCACGGCUAACUACGUGCCAGCAGCCGCGGUAAUACGUAGGUGGCAAGCGUUAUCCGGAAUUAUUGGGCGUAAAGCGCGCGUAGGCGGUUUUUUAAGUCUGAUGUGAAAGCCCACGGCUCAACCGUGGAGGGUCAUUGGAAACUGGAAAACUUGAGUGCAGAAGA
This 610-nucleotide ribosomal RNA is filed under the name uncultured Staphylococcus sp. RNAcentral's name for it is "bacterial SSU rRNA". It matches the Rfam family "Bacterial small subunit ribosomal RNA", at positions 63 to 655 of the family's 1533-position model. The record is from RNAcentral. Lineage: Bacteria; Bacillati; Bacillota; Bacilli; Caryophanales; Staphylococcaceae.